Pelmatolapia mariae (spotted tilapia) is the source of this 1796-nucleotide long non-coding RNA. RefSeq lists it as uncharacterized. Lineage: Eukaryota; Metazoa; Chordata; Actinopteri; Cichliformes; Cichlidae. The record is from RefSeq and is a predicted model, not a curated record. The transcript has 3 exons.
UAAAUAUUAUAUAUAAAUCUAAAUGUUAAAUGUUAAAUCUAAAUGUUAAAUGUUAAAUCUAAAUGUUACGGGAAACUAAAUAUUUAGCUAAUAUGCAAAUUUAUUGUACGGGUCAACGGAAAUACCAAAAUAAAAGCUUCAAGAAAACCUCCCGCGCUAAAGUGUGCCGGUCGUGUUCAGGUUGUGUGUCUGCGCUCCUCUCACGGUCACUUUUCACUGCCAUGAGCUGCUUCACCAAUUCCCUACCAGCAUGUCCAGCGAUUUAGCUGAAAACAUUGGAAGAGCCGUUUUGUCGGCCAUCCAACGAUUCAGCGGUAGUGCACCCUCAACCUCACAAACGCCGCUGCACUUGGAAUCCAGCAAUGCACCUGGACCAAGUAGACCUGCCGUCUCCACUGGGAUACCGUACCGCUCGGAUGGUUACCAAGGAAGGCUUCAGAUUUCCAAAGAGGAAUUGGAAAAUGUUCUUUCCCUGAAAACAUCGUUUACUGAAGCUGCAUCUAUUCUUUCCAUCUCCAGGCCCACUCUGUAUAAGUUACUGCAAGACUAUAAUAUCUCAGUGUCAAAAUUCAAUGUAAUCAGUGACCAUGAGUUAGAUCAGAUAGUGUCCCAGAUAAAAACUGAACAUCCAAAUGUUGGAGAAGUGAUGCUGAUGGGUCAUCUGCGUUCCAAAAACAUAGUGGUUCAAAGAUGGCGUGUAAGAGAGUCACUGCGGAGGGUGGACUCGGCUGGUGUUCUAUCCAGGAGAAGAACUGCAGUUGCUCGGCGAGUAUAUUCUGUGCCUCAUCCAAAUUUCAUAUGGCACAUAGAUGGAAAUCACAAGCUGAUUCGUUGGAAGUUUGUUGUUCAUGGUACAAUAGAUGGAUACAGCAGGAUGUUGAUGUUUCUUCAUUGCUCCAGCAAUAAUUGAGCUGAGACUGUGAAAGCUCUCUUUACUGCAGCUAUUGGACAAUUUGGCAGACCCCUGCAUAUCAGGACUGAUCAUGGAGGAGAGAAUGCUCAGAUUUGGGAGGACAUGCGAGCAAGCAGGGGUGAAAGCUCUGUCUUAAUGGGAAGUUCUGUGCACAACCAGAGGAUUGAGCGUUUCAACCGAGACUUAAUAACUGUAGCCGCAUUUAUGCAUCUAUAUUUUAUGAAUUGGAAUCACUUGGUAUCCUAGACUUAGAAAAUGCAACAGACCUAUUUUGCCUUCAUUAUGUGUUUCUACCACGAAUCAACCGCACUUUGAAGGAAUUCAAAGCUGGAUAUAACAAUCACUCUAUUUCCACUGAAGGUAAUAGAACUCCCAUCCAGCUUUUUGCCUGUGGAACUCAUGUGUUUCAUCGUCACAACCCAGAACUUUCUACAGCAGAGGUCUCCAUACCCUCCUUGUCAAACUCUCAAAGUAGGUUUGUCCCAUUAAAUGACAGCGAUUUACAAGAGCUAUAUACAAGCAUUCACCCUUUUGAAGAAGACAACAAUAAUGGUAAAACAUUGUUUCAACGAACACAGCAGUAUAUUUAUAACAAACUUGUAAAUGUGUGACCUCAACCACAGGAUACCAGUGAUGUUCUAAAGAGUGAUGACACUUAGUAUUAAAUGCUGUACAGCAAAUGUGUUCCAGAAGCCCCCUCCCCUCUAGCAGUGAUACCUCCUGCCACAUAAGGACUCAAAGUUAAUGACUGAUAGUGACUCAUAGGCUAUUCAGAAGGCUACAACUACAUUUGGUUUAUGGGUAAAAACAGUUAUUCAGAUUGCAGUAAAGCCAUCAAAUUCACACUGUAACAGUGUAAUACAGUAUAACAGUGAAAAUUAUC